AUUGAACGCUGGCGGCAUGCUUUACACAUGCAAGUCGAACGGUAACAGGCCUUCGGGUGCUGACGAGUGGCGAACGGGUGAGUAAUGCAUCGGAACGUGCCCAAUCGUGGGGGAUAACGUAGCGAAAGUUACGCUAAUACCGCAUAAGCCCUGAGGGGGAAAGCAGGGGAUCGCAAGGACCUUGCGCGAAUGGAGCGGCCGAUGUCAGAUUAGCUAGUUGGNGGGGUAAAGGCCUACCAAGGCGACGAUCUGUAGCGGGUCUGAGAGGAUGAUCCGCCACACUGGGACUGAGACACGGCCCAGACUCCUACGGGAGGCAGCAGUGGGGAAUUUU
RNAcentral lists this ribosomal RNA (334 nucleotides) under uncultured bacterium. Its description in RNAcentral is "bacterial SSU rRNA". It matches the Rfam family "Bacterial small subunit ribosomal RNA", at positions 30 to 365 of the family's 1533-position model. The record is from RNAcentral.